GCAGCCCCUUCUCACUACAGGAAGUCACUGCAGUCAAUUUAGAAAAGAUGAAACAAAAUAACUGAAUAACAACUACAAAUAACGUGUCAAAAAGGCUGAAGUAAGAGGGGAAGAUAAAGCAGAAAGAUGUCUCAGGAAUCCCUUUAAAGGAGCCACCAGUGUGCCCAGGGACCAGUGAGCAGCACCCAGAGACCAGGACUCGUCCCCUGCCCGGAGUCUGAGGAGCAGUGAACUGAAGAGCUGAUGCGUUCAGAAACCAAAGUGAAGGCUUGGCCCUCUGCAGGCCUCCAUCAUACAGACACACAGUGUCUGGCAAAGUGCUAGCAUUGGCCUCAAACAGACCCAGUUGCUGUGUGUUGCCUCUCUGUCUGCGCAGGAUGGAGUGCGGGAUGGAGGACUUUUACCAUGGCAACCACUAAUGCAGUAUAGAUGCAGGGACUGAGCCUGGGCUGCGGUUGUACUAAUACAGGAUUCAUGGAAGGCAGGUGUAAAUACUCGACCAGUGAACCCCUCCCGCUGCCAUGGUGCAACAUGAAUCCAGCUGGAAGAACAAGUGCUGCGUGGGCUCCCUGAAGUGCUGCUACACUGGGUCAUUGGAGAGCCACAACGUGUUUGGGAACAGAACAGUCUGUGUUAUUUCAGCACAGCCUGUUGGAUGAAGGGCCAUUUCACAGGCAUUAUGGAUUAAUCUUUGGCAGCAUCCCUUCAGGAUCAAACAAAAUUGAAUGUUUAACCUCAUGAGCUGAGAGGUCUCUUGUGAUAAACCAGGAUUGAGAGGAUUGAAUCUGACCCGCAUUGGGUUAAACAUCACAUACUUGUAAAUGUAUUUGAGCUAACUCCUGAUGAAAAGAUGAAAAUAUAGUGUGUACACACCUCCUUCCUCAGGUGAGUGUAAUCCAAACCCUGAAAAUGAUUUAAUUCAUAACAUUCCACUAAUUCAUCACUAUAUACACACAAAUAGAAGACAUUAAGGCCUCUGUCAUUCACUUGAUGUCUAACUUCUCCUCCAACAACAGAGAAAAUAAAACAUGUUAAGACUUUUGAGCAAGCCAUGCGAUCACCUGAUGUCCUGUUCAGGUAAAAAAGUGAUCUUUUCAAAUGAAUAGUUGUAUUUAUUACUCCAUCUUGCUGUUUAUAUUUGCUACACAGCUGCAACCUCCUAUAUCUUCCCUCACUUGUUAUAAACUGUUUGUGAUAUCGGGUAGUCUAGAAGUCUAGAGUCUAGAAAAGUCACCAAGUUCUGUUUGACAGGAGCAGUGAUUGAUGGGUCUAAUUGUAAUUUCCCCACUGGGGAUCAAUAAACAGUAAAAUUAUUAAAAUUAAAAAUUACACAGGCAUGGUGCAGUUUUACAUUUUACAUGCAGGAAUGCAUGUAAUACAUGUAAAAGAACAAAUAAUAAAAAGCAGUAUAGGCCUGGAGAUGUGAUGUGGAUAUAAUAAAUUCCUUGUAAACACCAAUAAAAUGGACUAUGCAAUAUGAAUGAAA
Molecule: long non-coding RNA, 1486 nt
Organism: Perca fluviatilis (European perch)
Lineage: Eukaryota; Metazoa; Chordata; Actinopteri; Perciformes; Percidae
Exons: 5
Source: RefSeq, a predicted model, not a curated record